CGUGUGUUUUUUUUGUUUGAAAUUGUGUGCUCUGUGAUUUUGCUUGAGAUGCUAGUACAAGAUGAUAGCUGCUAUUUAUUGUUGCAUAUUAGGCUCUUGAGACAUUGCAUAUAAUAUUUGCUUGAUGUUAGUGUUGGAUUAUUGUACUUUCAACUGGUUUUUAGUGUAAUGGUUGCUUGUAAUAAUGAGUGAUUGCUUGAUUAAAUACCUGAAUGGGUUCCAUGGAAGAUUUUUCCUUUAGUUACGAGGUGCAUAGAUCCCAUGCUUCAUUGUGUUUUACAGAAUGAGGGGAGAUAAACUUCAUAGUGAAUUUUAUCAACAUAUACCUUCACAUCAGUUAUUACAACAAUCGUUUUCAAUUGCACCCGUUCUUAUACUGGAUUUUGCUACCUUUCUAUGUUUGACUCGUUAAGUAUACUAGUAAAAGAGUAUGUUAAAUGAAAAUUUUAUAGUGUGUUUAUUUGUGUUGAUAAAAUCUAUCAAAAUGUGGGAGAGGACUUGUUUCAGAAAAUGUGAGAUCUGCUCCUUAAACUCUGUACAAAUGUUCUGUUGUGCAAAGAUUGAACACCAACCAUCAUUGUAUAAACUCACCAAGACCCACCAAUGAUUUCAAUACUGGCUGUUCACUUGACAAGUGUACUUGUAUGUUCUGUAACAACCAAAUGAACUUGUUUUAUAGCUUUGUUUAAGCAGUUAUAAAUUAAUGAAAGAGGCUC
Molecule: long non-coding RNA, 716 nt
Organism: Populus euphratica (Euphrates poplar)
Lineage: Eukaryota; Viridiplantae; Streptophyta; Magnoliopsida; Malpighiales; Salicaceae
Exons: 2
Source: RefSeq, a predicted model, not a curated record